UACUCAUCAUGCUCGUUUACGCCAAAAUUCAACUCAUUGAACCCUUCAUUCACAUUCUCGGGGAUUGCUUCCAAAUUCUGCACAUCUAACAAAACCUCCCAGUCCAAAUUCCUAGAUACAUCUGCACUCUCCUCCCGGGCCAUCACCGGCAUGUCAUCAUCAUCCAGAAACAUGCUCAGAACCUCUCUCUCAUCAACUCCUUCAUCCACUUCCUCCCACUCAAAAUCCUCAUUAACUUCUCUAUGAUCCUCUAUCUGAAAAGAAUCCCAACAGAGCCUAAGGCUUGGAUCAUCAUCACCCUCACUUAUAUCAUCAUCGUCAGCACUAAAAUCAAUCUCAACGUCAUGGUUUAUAUCAGAAUCCGAUUCCGACCCGAUAUCCACGACUCGCAACCCGGUUACAAAAUGGUCCCCACCCUCAAAAUUUUCAGCUACGAACCCCGAAUUUUCCACAUUUGCCGAAGUGGGCUCUCCGAGAAACCCUAGAUUCAGAUCAAGAUCCAAAUGGGUCGGCUCCAUUCCGUCGUUUCCUUCAUGAAUCCCGAAAUUCGGGUCAGCAUCGGAAAUCUCCGGGUCAAUCACCACACAGGUUGUGGAGGACAAUUGGGACUGCUCAACUCGUUGGUGCAGGAGGUCCAUAACGAAAUUGACCUGAUUCUCGCGGUCGAAAAGAUCAGCGCCGGUGACAACCGAUUCGGGCUCCGACACGAUGUCGCUGGGGGAAUCAACCAAUAGUGAUGAUGAACGAUGGAGAGUGGAGAGUCGGCCACGGGGAAGAACAUCGGACGGUGGGAAAUCGGAGGAAGGAUCUAAAGUGAAGGCAUCGAAAUCGGAAGACCAGUAGGGAUCGAGAUGAUGGCGGUGGGGAUGGGUUUGAUGAUGAGAAAAAUCUACUUCUUCAAUGACGUCGUCUAGGCCGUCAUCGUCCUGGUGGAGUCUGAGUAGUUGAAGCAACGUCGUCUCAGCCAUUCUGUUUCAGCGGGGUGGGGAGAGUAGGAGGAAUAAAAGUGAGAAAGGAAACACCUUUUUUU
This 1030-nucleotide long non-coding RNA is filed under the name Coffea arabica (coffee). RNAcentral describes it as "long non-coding RNA (CARA_LNC002757)". Lineage: Eukaryota; Viridiplantae; Streptophyta; Magnoliopsida; Gentianales; Rubiaceae. The record is from RNAcentral.